This 497-nucleotide ribosomal RNA is filed under the name uncultured bacterium. Its description in RNAcentral is "partial 16S ribosomal RNA". It matches the Rfam family "Bacterial small subunit ribosomal RNA", at positions 28 to 507 of the family's 1533-position model. The record is from RNAcentral.
GAUGAACGCUGGCGGCGUGCCUAAUACAUGCAAGUCGAGCGAACAGACGAGGAGCUUGCUCCUCUGACGUUAGCGGCGGACGGGUGAGUAACACGUGGAUAACCUACCUAUAAGACUGGGAUAACUUCGGGAAACCGGAGCUAAUACCGGAUAAUAUAUUGAACCGCAUGGUUCAAUAGUGAAAGACGGUUUUGCUGUCACUUAUAGAUGGUUCCGCGCCGCAUUAGCUAGUUCGUAAGGUAACGGCUUACCAAGGCAACGAUGCGUAGCCGACCUGAGAGGGUGAUCGGCCACACUGGAACUGAGACACGGUCCAGACUCCUACGGGAGGCAGCAGUAGGGAAUCUUCCGCAAUGGGCGAAAGCCUGACGGAGCAACGCCGCGUGAGUGAUGAAGGUCUUCGGAUCGUAAAACUCUGUUAUUAGGGAAGAACAAAUGUGUAAGUAACUAUGCACGUCUUGACGGUACCUAAUCAGAAAGCCACGGCUAACUACGUG